AUUGAACGCUGGCGGCAGGCUUAACACAUGCAAGUCGAGCGGGGUGAUGGUGCUUGCACUAUCACUUAGCGGCGGACGGGUGAGUAAUGCUUAGGAAUCUGCCUAGUAGUGGGGGACAACAUCUCGAAAGGGAUGCUAAUACCGCAUACGUCCUUCGGGAGAAAGCAGGGGAUCACUUGUGACCUUGCGCUAAUAGAUGAGCCUAGGUCGGAUUAGCUAGUUGGUGGGGUAAAGGCCUACCAAGGCGACGAUCUGUAGCGGGUCUGAGAGGAUGAUCCGCCACACUGGGACUGAGACACGGCCCAGACUCCUACGGGAGGCAGCAGUGGGGAAUAUUGGACAAUGGGGGGAACCCUGAUCCAGCCAUGCCGCGUGUGUGAAGAAGGCCUUAUGGUUGUAAAGCACUUUAAGCGAGGAGGAGGCUCUUUUGGUUAAUACCCAAGAUGAGUGGACGUUACUCGCAGAAUAAGCACCGGCUAACUCUGUGCCAGCAGCCGCCGUAA
RNAcentral lists this ribosomal RNA (503 nucleotides) under uncultured bacterium. Its description in RNAcentral is "partial 16S ribosomal RNA". It matches the Rfam family "Bacterial small subunit ribosomal RNA", at positions 30 to 523 of the family's 1533-position model. The record is from RNAcentral.